ACUCCUACGGGAGGCAGCAGUAGGGAAUCUUCCACAAUGGACGAAAGUCUGAUGGAGCAACGCCGCGUGAGUGAAGAAGGGUUUCGGCUCGUAAAACUCUGUUGUUAAAGAAGAACAUAUCUGAGAGUAACUGUUCAGGUAUUGACGGUAUUUAACCAGAAAGCCACGGCUAACUACGUGCCAGCAGCCGCGGUAAUACGUAGGUGGCAAGCGUUGUCCGGAUUUAUUGGGGCGUAAAGCGAGCGCAGGCGGUUUUUAAGUCUGAUGUGAAAGACCUUCGGCGUCAACCGAACGAAGUAGCAUCGGAAACGUAGGGAAACGUUAGAGUGCAGAAGAGGACAGUGGAACUCCAUGUGUAGCGGUGAAAUGCGUAGAUAUAUGGAAGAACACCAGUGGCGAAGGCGGCUGUCUGGUCUGUAACUGACGCUGAGGCUCGAAAGUAUGGGUAGCAAACAGGAUUAGAUACCCUGGUAGGAUAGCG
Molecule: ribosomal RNA, 481 nt
Filed under: uncultured bacterium
Lineage: Bacteria
Description: bacterial SSU rRNA
Rfam family: Bacterial small subunit ribosomal RNA
Source: RNAcentral